CCACGCCUAUUUGCAGCUGCGCACUGCUCCUUGUUGGUCACUCUGGUGGUCGUCUGGAGGCCUUUGGGGCUGAAGUCACCAAUUUUCCUUCAGCUGAAAUUUUCACCUUGUCUUUUUGUGCAUGCUCCUUUCAGUUCUUUUGAACCCUCUCUUUCCAUUUCUUGUGGCUUAGGGGUCCAAAAGAAUCCAAGGAACCCCCUCACCCUAUGGUGCAUUUAUGCUUGCAUCCUGUUUACGUAUUCUAGCUCUUUAUCUCAUCCUGCAGUCUUUAUUCUCUUCCUGCUCUUUUGGGAGCAGUCAGCAUUUCACACGGGUUUUGUAGCCCCUUCUUUUAUUCAGGGCAAUUUUUAUAAAUGAUUCCUAAUUUCUCUGUUUCACCCUGGCCCAGUGGGGCUGUGGGCUGGGUCGGCACCGCGGCUCCCCGGGCAGCAGCCGGCCCUCUGCCCCCUCCAGAGCCCGGCGCCAGCGGCUGCUGGCCGGGCCUCAGGGCUGGGCGGGCACGGGAGGCCGGGGCUGGCCGCAGACAGUGCCCGGCCGAGGGGCAGAGCCCGCACCAACCCUUCCCUCCUGCCGCUCUCUGCAGCUGGCACAGGACAGGAACCGAGCGGCUGAGGACCUGCGCCGGGCCCUGCCGUACCUGCAGAGCCCACAGGAGUCCCUGCGAGCGGCGGCCAUCAGGUUCAUCGAGAUGGUCGAGGUACCCAUGAGGGGGCAGCAGGAAGAGCUCUAGGCCUUCAGUAAGGCCUUUUAAGCCCUGAGGAGGAAUGACAGCCCUUCCCAGACAAACAUAGUAGUUCAACUGAUAUUCAGUGAAAGAGCUGCAGAAGUAGGCUCAUCUGCUGGCUCAGAAGAAACAGUGUUCAUUUAAGACCUCCAGAUGCCAUGGAAGAUGAGAGUACCUUGACACCAGAAGAGACCAGCUGGAGCUCCAGGCACAGCUAAUGACUGGCACAGCUGAGCCUGUGGGAAGCUCAUGUGGCUUCAGCCCUCUCCCUGCCUGUAGAUAGUUCCCUCCCUGCAGCCCUCAGACACUGCCCACUCCUUCUUUUUCCCUUCCACUCUCCCUCCUUUUUGACAGCUCCAUCCCCCCAGCCCUCAGACUGUGCCACCCCCUUUUUUGGCUCUCAGCUCAUCCCUUUGCUUUGUCUUCCAGCAAUAAACAGUUUGGCUUUUUCACUUAACCUGCAUCUGUGUGGAGCUGAAGGGUCACAAUUCUGGAGUUCUGUGACACAAAUCCUGAGCCCUGAGACACACAGUCCCCUCCUGCUGUUCUCUUCUGCACCGUGUUUUGUUCAGAGACGCAGAGGAACGAGCGCAGAUCAGGCUGGAUAGGUCCCUGUGCUGAAGGUCCAGUUCCACAACAUUGUGGAGUUAAAGGUCUUGCUGAGUACCCUGAGCCUUGGAUUUUGGAAGAGCCAAGCUGAGUAUGCCCUGAACCCCGCUGUGAGGGGUUCUGUGUCAAGCAUCCACAGAUGGCAAAGGAGCUUAGGAUGCCUGAGGCUUUCAAGAAUAGCUCCCUGAAAGCACAGUAAUGCUCCAUCCCUGCUCAGGAUCAGGAAGAGGGCAGAACCAGAGAGAAUCUGGGCUUAACAGGGAGCUGUGGGUGUGUCUAAGAGCAAAUGAAGCAGCAGCACAGUGGCCGAGACUCGGACACACAACCGUGCUGGCGUCCGGAGCGCUGUCAGGCAGUGCCGGGAUCCUGGGUUUGGUUCUGGGCCCCACAACUGAGGAACUGCAGCCCCUGCCUCAGAGCCUGUCAGAAAGCCAAGCAAGUGAGACCAGAGGGAGGGCAUCCUUCCAGUCUCUCUUGGGCAUGGCCGCAAAACAGCUCCUGCUCCUUCUUCCUCCGCCUCUGCUUGGGCUCUGCUGUUACAAACGGAGACAAGUUUAGACAAGUUCUGCCUUUGUCUCAGCUUUGUGGCAGCAGCUCAUUUUGAGGCAGCCUGCACCCCAAAUGUCUCUCAUUCACAAGUUCUUAAGAAUGGCUGAUUAGGUUUAUUAUAAAAUUAAUUCUUUAUUGAAUUGACAAAGGAUUAACAGACAUCAGACUUUAGAUAGACCACUUAGUACAUAGGACAAAACAAAAAGAGCCACUACUAGAUCAAAAAUACAGGACAAUAAAAGGUACCUUGUUAUAAAUCCAUAUUGUGAUACUGGCUUUUGCAAGUAUUAAGAUGA
Poecile atricapillus (Black-capped chickadee) is the source of this 2178-nucleotide long non-coding RNA. RefSeq lists it as uncharacterized. The record is from RefSeq and is a predicted model, not a curated record. The transcript is spliced from 3 exons. Lineage: Eukaryota; Metazoa; Chordata; Aves; Passeriformes; Paridae.